This 72-nucleotide transfer RNA is filed under the name Patescibacteria group bacterium. Its description in RNAcentral is "tRNA-Gly". It matches the Rfam family "tRNA". Rfam says of the family: Transfer RNA (tRNA) molecules are approximately 80 nucleotides in length. Their secondary structure includes four short double-helical elements and three loops (D, anti-codon, and T loops). Further hydrogen bonds mediate the characteristic L-shaped molecular structure. tRNAs have two regions of fundamental functional importance: the anti-codon, which is responsible for specific mRNA codon recognition, and the 3' end, to which the tRNAs corresponding amino acid is attached (by aminoacyl-tRNA synthetases). tRNAs cope with the degeneracy of the genetic code in two manners: having more than one tRNA (with a specific anti-codon) for a particular amino acid; and 'wobble' base-pairing, i.e. permitting non-standard base-pairing at the 3rd anti-codon position. The record is from RNAcentral.
GCGGGGAUAGUUCAGCAGUAGAACGUCUCGUUGCCAACGAGAAGGUCGCGGGUGCGAAUCCCGUUCCCCGCU